UGGGGAAUAUUGCACAAUGGGGGAAACCCUGAUGCAGCGACGCCGCGUGAGCGAAGAAGGUUUUCGAAUCGUAAAGCUCUGUCCUAUGGGAAGAUAAUGACGGUACCAUAGGAGGAAGCCCCGGCUAACUACGUGCCAGCAGCCGCGGUAAUACGUAGGGGGCAAGCGUUGUCCGGAAUCACUGGGCGUAAAGGGUUCGCAGGCGGAAAUGCAAGUCAGUUGUGAAAGGCAGAGGCUCAACCUCUGUAAGCAAUUGAAACUGUAUUUCUUGAGAUGUGGGGAGGCAAGUGGAAUUCCUAGUGUAGCGGUGAAAUGCGUAGAUAUUAGGAAGAAUACCGGUGGCGAAGGCGACUUGCUGGACACAAACUGACGCUGAGGAACGAAAGCUUGGGUAGCAAACAGG
Molecule: ribosomal RNA, 403 nt
Filed under: Fusobacteriota bacterium
Lineage: Bacteria; Fusobacteriati; Fusobacteriota
Description: Fusobacteria bacterium partial 16S ribosomal RNA
Rfam family: Bacterial small subunit ribosomal RNA
Source: RNAcentral